This is a long non-coding RNA of Mustela erminea (ermine), 247 nucleotides long. RefSeq lists it as uncharacterized. Lineage: Eukaryota; Metazoa; Chordata; Mammalia; Carnivora; Mustelidae. The transcript is spliced from 3 exons. The record is from RefSeq and is a predicted model, not a curated record.
CCCAGUGGGAGGGGAGAGAUGUGGGCAGGGCCUCAGGGGACAGUUCCGCUCCAUCUUCAAAGAAAGGGCAGCACGCUCCAGGCUGUGCAGAGCCCACGGAGGCUGAUGAAUAAGACCAGAGCUGGAGCCAGGCGAUGGUGGCUCUCGUUAAUGAACAAAAUUGGAUUCUGACUCAGAACAGAAAAUGUAUGUCUCAGCCAUCUACAAACCUCAACUCUAUGUUCAAAUAAUCUUCGACAAAGCAGGA